UAAGGAAUAUUGGACAAUGGUGGCAACACUGAUCCAGCCAUGCCGCGUGAAGGAUGAAGGCCCUAUGGGUUGUAAACUUCUUUUAUAUGAUAAAAAACCACUUUACGUGUAAAGUGCUGAUUGUCGUAAGAAUAAGGGUCGGCUAACUCCGUGCCAGCAGCCGCGGUAAUACGGAGGACCCAAGCGUUAUUCGGAUUUAUUGGGUUUAAAGGGUGCGUAGGCGGGAUAGUAAGUCAGAGGUGAAAUCCCACAGCUUAACUGUGGAACUGCCUUUGAUACUGCUAACCUUGAGUACAGAUGAUGUGGGCGGAAUAUGACAUGUAGCGGUGAAAUGCUUAGAUAUGUCAUAGAACACCGAUUGCGAAGGCAGCUCACAAAACUGUAACUGACGCUGAGGCACGAAAGCAUGGGGAUCGAACAGG
This 422-nucleotide ribosomal RNA is filed under the name uncultured bacterium. RNAcentral's name for it is "bacterial SSU rRNA". It matches the Rfam family "Bacterial small subunit ribosomal RNA", at positions 355 to 776 of the family's 1533-position model. The record is from RNAcentral.